Molecule: long non-coding RNA, 512 nt
Filed under: Homo sapiens (human)
Lineage: Eukaryota; Metazoa; Chordata; Mammalia; Primates; Hominidae
Description: non-protein coding RFPL1S:21
Source: RNAcentral
GGCCUCCUGCGCGAAGCGCGCCAGCGCGCGGGCCGCCGCCUCGGCCUCCUCUCGCUGCCGGGCCUCGUCGUCUAGGCGCUGGCGCACGUGCGCGAUGUCCUCGAGCAGGUGCUCCUGCUCCAGGCGUAGCUGACCGCGCGCCGCGCCCAGGCGCAGCACCGCGCCGCGCAUCUCGCGGACCUCGCGCUCGUACAGCUCGCCCAUAGCGGAGCGGCCCGCCUGCUGCUGCCGCAGCGCCGCAGCCUCGCCCUCCAGGCUGCGGUUGUGCGCCUCCAGCUGCCGCACCUUGUCGAUGUACCCGGCGAAGCGGUCGUUCAGCGCCUGCAGCUGCUCCUUCUCACUGCGUGAGGUGGCCACCGCCACCAUGCAGCCCUCCGGCCCGUUGCUCAGCGUGUCCAGCGAGUCGGUGCUUGAGGCGGCGCCUGCGCCACGGAAGCGGCUGGGCGAGGCGGACACGGAGCUCACGGACGUCCGUGUCCACGAGUGGAAGCCGCUGGAGGAGCCAGCGGCGG